Long non-coding RNA from Amblyraja radiata (thorny skate), 80 nucleotides. RefSeq lists it as uncharacterized. Lineage: Eukaryota; Metazoa; Chordata; Chondrichthyes; Rajiformes; Rajidae. The transcript has 3 exons. The record is from RefSeq and is a predicted model, not a curated record.
AGGGUGUAUAUGGGAAGACGCCUUUUCUGUAAAUUCACUUCUGUCUUGUCUUGAGGACAUUAAGUCCUGGAUGGCCCUAA